Molecule: ribosomal RNA, 395 nt
Filed under: Adriamonas peritocrescens
Lineage: Eukaryota; Bigyra; Bicosoecida; Siluaniidae
Description: partial small subunit ribosomal RNA
Rfam family: Eukaryotic small subunit ribosomal RNA
Source: RNAcentral
GCUUGUCUCAAAGAUUAAGCCAUGCAUGUCUAAGUAUAAACAAAUCUAUACGUGAAACUGCGAAUGGCUCAUUAUAUCAGUUAUAGUUUAUUUGAUGGUUCUUGCUACUUGGAUAACCGUAGUAAUUCUAGAGCUAAUACAUGCGUCAAGUCCCUACCGCGCGAGCGGGAAGGAUGUGUUUAUUAGAUACAACCAACCCUUCGGGUCCCUGGUGAAUCAUAAUAACCGAACGAACCGCAUGCUUCGGCGGCGGUGGUUCAUUCAAGUUUCUGCCCUAUCAGCUUUCGAUGGUAGGGUAUUGGCCUACCAUGGCGUUAACGGGUAACGGAGAAUUAGGGUUCGAUUCCGGAGAGGGAGCCUGAGAGAUGGCUACCACAUCCAAGGAAGGCAGCAGG